AAUUAUUUAUUUGAUGGUUUCUUACUACAUGGAUAACCGUAGUAAUUCUAGAGCUAAUACAUGCGUAAAGUCCUAACUCUUGCGGGGAGGGAUGUAUUUAUUAGAUUAAAAACCAAUGCGGGCUUUGCCCGGUUUUGUGUUGAUUCAUAGUAACUUUUCGGAUCGCAUGGCUUCACGCCGGCGACAGUUCAUUCAAAUUUCUGCCCUAUCAGCUUUCGACGGUAGUGUAGUGGACUACCGUGGCAUUUACGGGUGAUGGAGAAUUAGGGUUCGAUUCCGGAGAGGGAGCCUGAGAAACGGCUACCACA
RNAcentral lists this ribosomal RNA (308 nucleotides) under uncultured eukaryote. RNAcentral describes it as "SSU rRNA". It matches the Rfam family "Eukaryotic small subunit ribosomal RNA", at positions 111 to 414 of the family's 1831-position model. The record is from RNAcentral.